Molecule: long non-coding RNA, 1438 nt
Organism: Saccostrea echinata
Lineage: Eukaryota; Metazoa; Mollusca; Bivalvia; Ostreida; Ostreidae
Exons: 4
Source: RefSeq, a predicted model, not a curated record
GAGGUACUUUUGAGUUUGAUUAAAAUACAUGUAAUUAUGAAACUUUUAUUUCCCUACAGAUGUCAACAAUGAAAAUGAAACAAAUCAAUCAAUGGAUCGAAUUAAAAGUUUUGGUAAAAGAAAACAGUUGCAUAUACAUGCUGACAAGAAAGGACUUACAUGAAGAAGAAGUGUUGUACAACUAUGAGAAUGGAAGGAGGAUUUGGUGUUUAAUUGAGGAAAUGGAUAAAAAAUAUGUAUGUGUCGAGCAACUAUAGGCACUUGAUAGAAGGGUAAAUUGGAAAGUUCAGAUUACAUUAUGCCAACAGAGAUGACAACAAAACCAACCAAGCUAAAAGUUGUCCAGGAAAACUUUUGUAUUGGAGCAAGACAAGUUAAUGACUUAAUGAUAGACUCACUGCAGAGAGAGAUGUUGGAAAAGUGGAUUUUGUUAACAAAAGGAAGAUAAGAUCAAGGCUGCCAACCUUUGAGAGAAACACUUCAAAAAAGAGUGUUUAAAUUCAAGACAUUCACUUACAGUACAUGUACUCUAUAAAAAUUAUAAAGUAAAAGUUAUUUAUUUAAUUUGGAAAAGCAUUUGAGAAACAGAGGAUGUGAAAAAGACUUUGUCCAUUUCAAGCUAUCUGUUGUCAAGUACCAGGCAUAUGUGGAUUUUAUUGAACAACUUUAUUAUGAAUUUGAAUAGCAACUUUCAAUAUCUGGAAGCAUUUUUAUCAGUAGGGAUGUAGAUGUUAAAUUAUAUAAAAAUUAUUUUUUAAAGGAUAUUUAUCAAGAAAAUUUUUGUAGAUUAAUAACAGGUAAAAUUUGUAAUGAGAGAUCUUUUAUUGAUCAUUUGCAGUAGUAAGUGACACUUGUUAUAAUUAUACCCCCGACUCUGAAGGAGAGGGGGUAUACUGUUUUACCCUUGUGUGUCUGUCUGUGUGUCUGUCCGUAACAAUUUUUCGUCGCAGUUUUCUCAACAACUACUCAUCAAAGAUGCUUGAAAUUUUAACACUUUAUGACUAGGCAUGCCAUAUUGUGGGAUUCAUGAGUGAAUAUUCACAUCGGAGCGGGGGUAUUACUAGUGAGCAUUGGCUCACAGACUUCCUAAUUAUCUCUAUAAUUUAAGAAAUCCAGUAAUUGAAAGAUCUUUGUGCAAUUUAAUGAUACCUGGUAAUGCUUGCACACCUUAUCUGAAUCAAAUUUUGAGGAAGUACCACAUAAAACUUUUUUGUGGGGGGGGGGGGGGUUCUUUUAAAAAAUGCAAGGGUUUCCGUCAUUUGAUAUUUUUUCAAAACUCCUGAUACAUGUACAUGUAAUGUAUGCUGAUUUUUUGUUAAAGAACAUCUAAUGGUAUCAUGAUUUUAAAUUAUAUUUUCUCUAAAAAUUAUCAGUUGGAAGGUUCACUGUAAAGUGCAUGUACAUUGCAUAUGACCUUAAAAGUACUGUGGUGGCAGAA